Molecule: non-coding RNA, 2228 nt
Organism: Benincasa hispida (wax gourd)
Lineage: Eukaryota; Viridiplantae; Streptophyta; Magnoliopsida; Cucurbitales; Cucurbitaceae
Source: RefSeq, a predicted model, not a curated record
GUUUACGUUUACUUUGGCUUAUGCAUGAGUAUAGAUUGUUUGUAUCAUGUUUGAUAAUGUUAGGUAUUUUCUACUUUUUGCAAUCAGAAAAUCCCAACAAGAGCUACAAAACAGGGGAAUAGUAUCCCUGAUCGAUAUGUAUAUUCAACUAGGAACAAAAUACACUAAAUCACAAUGUCUCAGGAUCAACUUUAACAAGAUGAAAGAUAAAGAGCAAAAGAAAGAAGAUAACUCCCCGGCACAUUCGAGAGUGCCGGAAUACUCUCCUAAACCACAGCCUUCAGCCAAAAUUUCCGCCCCCACAAUAGAGCCUUCAAACCCUACAAAAACCCUUGCACGGGUCCCCACUCGCCAUGUAACAACUGUACAACUCCUGAGCUGAUUAUCAAGCACUAAUUCUCCUUCCUAUCUCUUCUCUCGGAUGUAUGGAUGAUAGGGGACCUCACAGAUAAGUGCUUCUAGUUGGAAAGUGGACAAGAACUAUGUAAGACCCCUAGUUAUUGGAAAUAGUAGGAUUAUUAGUAAAUAUUAGGAUAGUUAUUAGAAGGGGCAUUUUGGUAAUUAGAUAGUGAACUUGUUAAGGCUUUUAGGUAUAAAUAGAGGGAGUGAGUUGAGAGAAAGGGCAAGAAGUAUUUUGUAAGGAAUUUUCUAUGGGGAAUUUAAGGAGAGAUUAGCCCUCUCGAAAGACUAGAGGUUAUCUUGUUACUUUGCUUAUAAGUUGAUAGUAUACUUCAAUACAUUUUCCUAUAUUUCUAUAAUUGAACUGUUCUUGAGUUUAUUCUGUAUUCUUGAGUAUUGUUCUUGUUAGGAGAGAUCCUAACAAACUACUUGAACUUAGAAACGUUUAUAUCAUUUAUAAUUGUGUUACAAGUAGAGCCUAUAUAAUGGUUUUCAUUACUUUGAAGAGGUUGCAUAUCCUAAACCACUCGCCUGAACAGAAAAAAAAGUAUGUCAAUGGCAAGGCUUCAUUUGUUCCCAACACUUUCAAGCAUUGUCUAGCAUGUGUCAGCUAACUACCAGUUGUUGGCUCAAAUAAUAAUCUGAUUAUGGAGUGCUGUGUGCAUAGGGUGGGAGGUCACUCAGUGGGACUUUUGGAUACUAGAAAAGCAAAAGAGAAGGACUCACUAGUUGUCUAAGUUUAAUAGGAAGCAGUUAUUUUGUCAACCUUGAACGAAUGUAAUACCAAGGGUGAAGAAAUUAAGCAUGAGACUCCGGCUUUUACUGUGUUUCAACCUGAUGAAGCCAUGCAUAUGCUUAGAGAUAAAGCUUCCCAGUUGGAUGUAUGUGCAGAGAUCUUCUUCAUUCGUAUAAUCACCAUAAGACCUGACCCUUCCCAUAAUGUUUGAAUUUUAUUUUAUUACACUAUGACAUGCAUUGUUCAUUACUACCUUAUAUUUGAAACAAUGUCAUGUUAACUUCGUACAAUCUGAAUUUUCUAUUACUUGCUAUUAUAGAUGUGAGCUUAAAUUAUUUCUCGUAGUGAUCUAUGCUUUUUUGCGUCUACAUGACUACAUGGUUGAACCUGAAACUAGAUAAUGAACUGCAACAAUUUUGCACAUCACACAUACAACUUAACUUACCGUAGUGCUGCCAUUGGACCCUGAGCUACUACAUGGUCGUAAACUUGGGCUUGAAGGCGAGCACCAGUAUCAAAAUGCUGGUCUUGCUGUUGCCCUAUCCUCCACAUGGCUUCACAGGGCUAGCCAUUCCAAACUGCCAUACGUAGAACAAAGUAGGUCUUUGCCUGAGCAGUUCAUAGAAGGGCUUACCACUGCCAACUUUGAAGGACGAGCACAGAUUGUUCCUGACAGAUCUGUUGAUAUCGAAUCCCGAACAUCUUGUAUUUUAUUUGGAUGGAGCCCAUAGUCCUUAGAGGAUGGAGGUUUGAGGUUGAUGGUUUUCUGCUGCAAUAAGUCAUAACCAGCCAGGGAUUUUAAAUCAUCAGUCGGCAGGAUAAUGGUAUAUCUUCAAAUAAGCUUCGAGAUAACGAUGAAGCAAGGAAGAAAUCUCUGCAGGUGGAUUUCAACUUUAGUUCAACUUUUCCUAGUUCAUUUAUUGCUUGUCAAGGAAAGAUGGAUUACACAUAACUAAAUUAGAUAAUUUCAUUGUGAGAACUUGUAGAAAUGGCAUUGUUGGCCUGCAAUCAAUGUAUCAAAGAUGAGGAACAAUGAAAGUUUCCUUUGAUGACAUUAACAAAGCAUAACUCCCCCGGCAUGGUCUCCCUCGCC